This 499-nucleotide ribosomal RNA is filed under the name uncultured bacterium. RNAcentral's name for it is "bacterial SSU rRNA". It matches the Rfam family "Bacterial small subunit ribosomal RNA", at positions 305 to 801 of the family's 1533-position model. The record is from RNAcentral.
CCCCCACAUUGGUACUGAGACACGGACCAAACUCCUACGGGAGGCAGCAGUGAGGAAUAUUGGUCAAUGGGCGUAAGCCUGAACCAGCCAAGUCGCGUGAGGGAUGAAGGUUCUAUGGAUCGUAAACCUCUUUUAUAAGGGAAUAAAGUGCGGGACGUGUCCCGUUUUGUAUGUACCUUAUGAAUAAGGAUCGGCUAACUCCGUGCCAGCAGCCGCGGUAAUACGGAGGAUCCGAGCGUUAUCCGGAUUUAUUGGGUUUAAAGGGUGCGUAGGCGGCCUUUUAAGUCAGCGGUGAAAGUCUGUGGCUCAACCAUAGAAUUGCCGUUGAAACUGGGAGGCUUGAGUAUGUUUGAGGCAGGCGGAAUGCGUGGUGUAGCGGUGAAAUGCUUAGAUAUCACGCAGAACCCCGAUUGCGAAGGCAGCCUGCCAAGCCAUGACUGACGCUGAUGCACGAAAGCGUGGGGAUCAAACAGGAUUAGAUACCCUGGUAGUCCACGCA